RNAcentral lists this non-coding RNA (28 nucleotides) under Mus musculus (house mouse). Lineage: Eukaryota; Metazoa; Chordata; Mammalia; Rodentia; Muridae. The record is from RNAcentral.
UGAGAACCAAUAGGAAUGCCAUUCUUAG